UACGUAGGGUGCAAGCGUUGUCCGGAAUUAUUGGGCGUAAAGGGCGCGUAGGCGGUGUGUCAAGUCAGGCGUGAAAGCCCCGGGCUCAACCUGGGAACCGCGCUUGAGACUGGCACGCUCGAGUUCGGGAGAGGAUGGUGGAAUCCCCAGUGUAGAGGUGAAAUUCGUAGAUAUUGGGAAGAACACCGAUGGCGAAGGCAGCCAUCUGGACCGACACUGACGCUGAGGCGCGAAAGCGUGGGGAGCAAACGGG
RNAcentral lists this ribosomal RNA (253 nucleotides) under uncultured bacterium. RNAcentral describes it as "partial 16S ribosomal RNA". It matches the Rfam family "Bacterial small subunit ribosomal RNA", at positions 524 to 776 of the family's 1533-position model. The record is from RNAcentral.